Small nuclear RNA from Carassius carassius (crucian carp), 197 nucleotides. RefSeq annotates it as U2 spliceosomal RNA. The transcript has a single exon. The record is from RefSeq and is a predicted model, not a curated record. Lineage: Eukaryota; Metazoa; Chordata; Actinopteri; Cypriniformes; Cyprinidae.
AUCGCUUCUCUGCCUUUUGGCUAAGAUCAAGUGUACUGUAGUAUCUGUUCUUAUCAGUUUAAUAUCUGAUACGUCUCCCAUCCGGGGACUUCAUAUUAAAUGGAUUUUUAGAUCAUGGAGCUGAAUCACUUCUCAGCUCUAAAGCUGCUCCUGAAGCUCGGAUUCACACUAUUGAUCCUGGUGUGUUCAGAGACUCA